Molecule: non-coding RNA, 831 nt
Organism: Chelonoidis abingdonii (Abingdon island giant tortoise)
Lineage: Eukaryota; Metazoa; Chordata; Testudines; Testudinidae
Source: RefSeq, a predicted model, not a curated record
GGGUUGGGAAAACCUUGAGUAAACAAGAAAUAUGCUCCUCCAAGAAGUAGUUGUGGUUGGAAGCAUACCACAGAAGAAACAGAACUCCCCUAACCAAGAGACCUAACAAUGCAAAUGGAAAGAAAGAUUCUCUCUUUUGUAUUAUGCCAGAUGAAAGAGAAGGACAAGCACACUUUAAAAGACCACAGUACAGAGGCAGGAGAAUACCUUUUGUAGCACUAAAGUUUAAAAGAUGAAAAAAGACUGACCACUGAAGUACACUAAAGAAAAGAGAAAGAUGCAGAAAAAUGAGAAUUUAAAGUGACAGCACAUGUAUCUGUUGCUUGCAAUAUGAUCAAGAAUAAGGAAAAUGCAGAACUUAGGGGAAGAGAGGUGCAGUUUAAUAAAUAGCUAUUAAAAAUCCUUGGAACAAGGAUUAUGGCUAUAACACCUUGUAAAUUGAUCACCAGAUAAAAUUUAAAAAAAAACUAAGACAAAAUCUGUGUUUUAAAAAAUGCAUUUGCCUAAGUAUUACAAUACAUAUGUGAAAAAGAACUUAAAAUGCACAAGUUAAAAAAAAAACAGAAAAUGAUUAAUCUUAAAGCAUCAAGAGUAAACUAAAAGACUGGGGAGAUAAAAAUCUGAUAAUAUUUGAGCACAGAGGGCUAAAUGAUAUUGUUAUGGACACUAACCAAACACUGACAAAUACUUUGUUAAUUAUAUGAUCAUGCAUAUAUAUACACAUCUUGGGCUUGAGAUAAAUGGUUAUGAAAAAUAAUUGCUGUGAAAUUGCAUAUAUGUACAUAUACCCUUUAAAGUCCAUACCACAAUAAACUUCAUUACUGUAUAUCA